CAGUCGAGACUUGUGCAUUGGUCGAGAAUAAGUGCUACUACUGCACUCGUCCCGGCCUAGC
RNAcentral lists this microRNA precursor (61 nucleotides) under Xenoturbella bocki. RNAcentral's name for it is "Xbo-Mir-92-o89_pre stem-loop". Lineage: Eukaryota; Metazoa; Xenacoelomorpha; Xenoturbellidae. The record is from RNAcentral.